This 368-nucleotide unclassified non-coding RNA is filed under the name Hevea brasiliensis (rubber tree). The record is from RNAcentral. Lineage: Eukaryota; Viridiplantae; Streptophyta; Magnoliopsida; Malpighiales; Euphorbiaceae.
GGUGAAGAAGGUGACGAGGAGGACGAAGAGGAAGAUGACGAGCUUGGGUUAAUGGGCCUCGGAGAUGAUGAAGAUGAAGGUACAGAAAUUGCCAGAUAUGAGGACUUUUUUGGUUCGAAAAAGGGUACUGGACAGAAGAAAACUGUUAAAUCAUCGGAUCUAUCAGAUGACAUGGGAACCGAUGAUGACAUGAUUGAUGACAAUCAGAAGAAGCGAAGCCUUUCUACCCAUGAAAAGGAGCUUGAAAAACUCCGAUCUACAAUUGAGGAUAUGGAGAAAGCAAACUUGGAAGAGAAGUCCUGGACUAUGCAAGGAGAAGUUACUGCUGCAAAAAGGCCAAAGAAUAGUGCAUUGGAAGUUGAUCUGGA